RNAcentral lists this long non-coding RNA (3944 nucleotides) under Ananas comosus (pineapple). Its description in RNAcentral is "long non-coding RNA (ACOM_LNC022026)". Lineage: Eukaryota; Viridiplantae; Streptophyta; Magnoliopsida; Poales; Bromeliaceae. The record is from RNAcentral.
CUGCUAGAAGUAGAGCUAUAAGGAAUCGAACCUUUUAUUCUAUUGCGCUCUCAAUUCAACAAGUGGAAGGUCAAUAAUCCCAUAAAAUUUUGUUGAAGUACAUGCAUUCAAUUGUGGUUUUAUUGGGAGAUGAGGAGGGAACGGUUUUGGAAGAUGAGGGGUUUCGGAGGUUGGGAGAUGAGAGGGAAUAGUUUUGGUGCAAUUAUAUGCAUUCAAUUGUGGUUUUAUUGGGAGAUAAGGAGGGAGCAGUUUUGAAGAUGAGGGCUUUAGGAGGUUGGGAGAUGAAAGAGAGCAGUUUUGAAAGAAGGAGGUAACACUAUGUCAGCAAGAUAUUGGGGAUUCAUAGAUUAGUAUAGAUUGUAUUGCAGUUUAAUAUUAAAAUCAAAAUAAAAACAUAUAGAAUUUUUUUGAACAAUAAACUAUUUUGAAUUAGCUAUUUAACAUUUCAAAAUUUUGUUUUUACUAUCCAACCUUUUAAUAUGUUAGGUUUAAGUCAGUUAAUUGUACUUUGACUUCAAAAUUUGAAGGCAUUGUUUAGUUUUACAAAUUUAGUUAGUAUAUUUCAUGCAAUUUUCGUAAUUAAAUUUAUUAAAAUAAGUAAUUAGUUCAAACUGAAUCAAUCUUUUUUUUAUUUUUAACUAUACAAUUUAUAUUUAAGUAUAAAUAUUUUAAAAUUAAAAUUUAUAUUCACGACAAAGAAGAAUCAAAUUAGAUUAAAAAAGACCUAAUCCCUAUCAAAAUUAUUAGGGAGAGAAUAAAAAAUAAACUGAACAAUAAAAAUGGAAAACAAAAGAGUGUGCGCCAACCCCACUCUAGCCCCAUUCCUGCCCCACCUCGCCUAAAUAGUUCCACGUGUAUCUUUAACUCAUUUAUACCUUUAUAUCUAUACAUUAUUUCUUCUCAAGUUGCCAUAUGGCAAUUUUUCCUUCAUUGUUGAGUGUGGAUUCUAUUUCUUCAUUGUUGAGUGUAGAUUUCAUCCCGAACCUGCACAAGUCCUUUUUCUUCCUCUUCCUUCGGCUGUUAUCUUUAUUCAUCAGCAAGAUAAAUCUCAUCUCUUAUCAUCAUUUUUUUCAUCAACGUUUCCUUUUUUUUUGUCGAUGUUUUCUAUUUUUUUCAAUUAUCUAUCCGUCGCAUCGAGUGGGUUACUACACUAGUAAUUCAUUAUGUUAUAUAAAAAAUAAGUAUAAAUAUUUUAAAAUUAAAAUUUAUAUAGAUGAGAAAGAAGAAUCAAAUUAGAUUAAAAAUAAGACCUAAUCCCCUAUCAAAAUUAUUAGGGAGAGAUAAAAAAUAAAAUAAAUAAUAAAAAUGGAAAAAAAGGAGUGGGCGCCAACCCCUACUCCUGCCCCCAAUUCAUCCCCACCUCAUACCGCCUGAACAGUGCCAUGUAUAUCUUUAACUCACAAUUCGUUAUGCUAUAUAGAUAUAAAUUAGUUAGUAUAUUUCAUAUAAUUUUCGUAACUAAAUUUAUUGAAAUAAAUAAUUAGUUCAAACUCAAUCAAUUUUUUUUUAUUUUUUAUUGUAUAAUUUAUAUUUAGGUAUAAAUAUUUUAAAAUUAAAAUUUAUAUUAAUGAGAAAGAAGAAUUAAAUUAGAUUAAAAAAAAACCUAAUCUCCUAUCAAAAUUAUUAGGGAGAGAGAAAAAAAUAAAAUAAAUAAUAAAAAUGAAAAAAAAAGAGCGGGCGCCAACCCUGUUCCCGCCUCACCUCGCCUAAAGAGUGCCACGUGUACCUGCCAGUGGAGCUAUGAAUAGUAGCCCAGUCGGACUCUCUCUCUCUCUCUCUCUACAUAUAUAUAUAUAUAUAUAUAUAUAUGGAAAAAAAAAGAGUGGGCGCCGACCCCACUCCCGCCUGCCCCCAUUCCCGCCCCACCUCAUCUAAAUAAUGUCACGUGUACUUUUAACUUAUAAUUCAUUAUAUUAUAGUAGUGUAGAGACCCGUGCGAUGCAACGGGUAGAUAAUAAAAAUAAAAUUUAAAAAUUUUAAUAAAAUUUAUAUUUACAGCUUAUUGAUAUUUAGGAUGCUAUACCAUAUUAAGUACAACCAAUUUGCAUGACUAAAUUCAACUGUUGAAAAAAAAAAUUAUAGUUAGAACCUACUCAUUGAUAGAAUAUUAAUAUGGUGCAUGUAAUUAAAUGUUGCACAUUGUAUGUAAUUAUAGGAGUGAAGAGGUGAAGGGUUGGACGUUGAGAAGAGAAUAAGGUGGUUUGAUUUAAAAUUGGGCUAUGAGAAUGAAGGGUAACAUAUCACGUGGCAAAAAGUUUUUUUUUGUACUGCAUGCAAAAGAGUUGCAAAAGAGAGAGGAUGGGAGAUUAAUGGAGAAUGUGAGUGGAUUAAAGUUAUAAAGCCUAUAGAAUAUUAGUAUGGUGCAUAUAAUUAAAUGUUGCACCUUCCAUGUAAUUAGAGGAGUGGGGAGGUGAAGGGUUGUGCGUUGAGAAUAAAAGGUAACAUGCCACGUGGCAAAAAAUAUUGUGGCUUCAUAUAGAUUUAUAGAUUAUAAAUAUAUAGACGUGUACCUUUAACUCACAAUUCAUUAUGCUAUAUAGAUAUGAAAAAAAAAAACCAACCCCACCGACCGUCCCUAAAGCAAGUGGCAAAGGUCUUGGUGGUUGGUACCCAAGACCCAAGUUCGAAUCCUAGUUGAUUCACAUUUCCAGCUAAGUUUAUUUCUAAAUAAAAUAAACGAAGCGGGUAGCGUGCUACUUAUCUCUCAAAAAAAAAAAAAAAACCAACCCCACUCCCACGUUGCCUAAAUAGUGUCACGUGUGCUUUUAAUUCACAAUUCAUUAUGUUAUACUAGUGUAGUAACCCGCGCGUUGCGGCGGGUAGAUACUAUUAAAAUAAAUUUAAUAUUUAACCAAUAUAUCAAAAGUUUGUUAUUAUUUUAAAAAUCAAAAUAGUCCAAACAUAUUGGCUUCUUGCAAAAAUAUAUUAAUUUACUGAAGUCGAUUAAUAACAAAAUACUCAAGAUAAUAAGUAUGUCAAUCUAUUGAGCUGAAAAACGACAAACUAUUUGGGAGAGAUUUAGAUAAAAAAUUCAAUAAAAAUUAACAUUUUAUAAAUCAAAUCAAAACAAUUAAAUGGUUAAAUUUUUUUUGUAUAAGUUAUAUAUUUAUCCUUUCAUUUUCUAUAUAAGUUAUGGUACUUCAAGAAAAUAAAGUUUUUAGAUUAUAUAUUAAUCUAAUUUUGUAAGUAUUCUUAUAUUAGUUAAUAAAAAGAAUCAUGGAAGUAGAAAAAAGUAAGCAUAUGAAAAGUUAUAUAAUAAAUAUUUAAGAGACAAAAAGAUAUACAACAUAAUGCAACCUAAUACAGUAAAUAUAAUACAGAAUUUUACUUUCGAAAAAAAUAUAAAGAACAAAGGAUAGGAAAAAAAAAAAGUAAUAAACAUUCAACACAAUAAACACAUCAGUACGAAUACCAUACAAAUAAAAAGAACUUGAAAAAACUGAAUAAAACUAUCUAAAAAAUUUCAACGCUACAACAUAAAGAAUAUAUAAUUUUUUUAAAAGAACUUUAUGAAAUUUGGAGGAAGGCUCGAUUUGAUGAAGAUGGCAACGCCAAGCUCGGCGAUGCAGCGUGCAAACUCAUACUUCGUCCACAGAACGUGUUCGAUCUUGGCCUCGGAGCUCAUGGAAGAGGAUUUACGAUUUACGGUUUAGAUUAGGAUUAAGAUGGGUGGACCAUUAAUUAAACGUUAUGUAUAAAGGGAAGGCGAAGGGUUGGAUUAAUGUGGGUGGACCAUUAAUUAGAUGUUAUGAGUGGAGAAAAUGAGAAAGGUUGGGUUAAGGUAGGUGAAUCAUUAAUUAGACGUUAUAGAUGGAGGGAGGGCAAAGGAUUCGUUUCGUAAUGUGAAGCCUAAAAAUAAAGGAAACACAGUUACAUGACACUUUUUUUGGGGAAUAAUGUAUAUGUAUAAAAGUAUAGAUAUAAAUUGUAUAGAUAUAUAGAUA